Molecule: ribosomal RNA, 244 nt
Filed under: Synalpheus sp. 2 HA-2021b
Lineage: Eukaryota; Metazoa; Arthropoda; Malacostraca; Decapoda; Alpheidae
Description: partial large subunit ribosomal RNA
Rfam family: Bacterial large subunit ribosomal RNA (bases 109-244)
Source: RNAcentral
UUUUGUUUUGCUGGGGCGGCAGGAAUAUAAGCUUAACUGUUUUAUAUUUAAAAUACUAUAAGUAGAGAAUGGUCCUUUAUUAAGGAGAUAAGAGUAAGUUACUUUAGGGAUAACAGCAUAAUUUUUUCUAAGAGUUCUUAUUGAAGGGAAUAGUUGUGACCUCGAUGUUGAAUUAAAUUUUCCCUUAGGUGCAGGAGUUUAAUGGGAGGGUCUGUUCGACCUUUAAAUAUUUACAUGAUUCAUU